CCUGUAGGCUGGAGGGACUGUGAGGUAAACAGCUGAGGGGGAGGAGACGGUAGUGACCAUGAAAGACACCAGGUUGACAGCACUGGAAACUGAAGUACCAGUUGUCCCUAGAACAGUUUGUUAGUGGCCCCAAUGAAGAACCUUCAGAACCUGUAGCACACGUCCUUGAGCCGGCACAGCGCCUUCGAGUGAGAGAAUGGCCCAACAAGCGAAUGUCGGGGAGCUUCUUGCCAUGCUGGACUCCCCCAUGCUGGGUGUGCGGGACGACGUGACAGCUGUCUUUAAAGAGAACCUCAAUUCUGACCGUGGUCCUAUGCUUGUAAACACCUUGGUGGAUUAUUACCUGGAAACCAACUCUCAGCCAGCAUUGCACAUCCUGACCACCUUGCAAGAGCCACAUGACAAGCACCUCUUGGACAGGAUUAACGAAUAUGUGGGCAAAGCUGCCACUCGUUUAUCCAUCCUCUCGUUACUGGGUCAUGUCAUAAGACUGCAGCCAUCUUGGAAGCAUAAACUCUCUCAAGCACCUCUUUUGCCUUCUUUACUAAAAUGUCUCAAGAUGGACACUGAUGUCGUUGUCCUCACAACAGGUGUCUUGGUGUUGAUAACCAUGCUACCAAUGAUUCCACAGUCUGGGAAACAGCAUCUUCUUGAUUUCUUUGACAUUUUUGGCCGUCUAUCAUCAUGGUGCCUGAAGAAACCAGGCCACGUGGCGGAAGUCUAUCUCGUCCAUCUCCAUGCCAGUGUGUACGCACUCUUUCAUCGCCUUUAUGGAAUGUACCCUUGCAACUUCGUCUCCUUUUUGCGUUCUCAUUACAGUAUGAAAGAAAACCUGGAGACUUUUGAAGAAGUGGUCAAGCCAAUGAUGGAGCAUGUGCGAAUUCAUCCGGAAUUAGUGACUGGAUCCAAGGACCAUGAACUGGACCCUCGAAGGUGGAAGAGAUUAGAAACUCAUGAUGUUGUGAUCGAGUGUGCCAAAAUCUCUCUGGAUCCCACAGAAGCCUCAUAUGAAGAUGGCUAUUCUGUGUCUCACCAAAUCUCAGCCCGCUUUCCUCAUCGUUCAGCCGAUGUCACCACCAGCCCUUAUGCUGACACACAGAAUAGCUAUGGGUGUGCUACUUCUACCCCUUACUCCACGUCUCGGCUGACGUUGUUAAAUACGCCAGGGCAGCUACCUCAGACUCUGAGUUCCCCAUCGACACGGCUGAUAACUGAACCACCACAAGCUACUUUUUGGAGCCCAUCUAUGGUUUGUGGUAUGACCACUCCUCCAACUUCUCCUGGAAAUGUCCCACCUGAUCUGUCACACCCUUACAGUAAAGUCUUUGGUACAACUGCAGGUGGAAAAGGAACUCCUCUGGGAACCCCAGCAACCUCUCCUCCUCCAGCCCCACUCUGUCAUUCGGAUGACUACGUGCACAUUUCACUCCCCCAGGCCACAGUCACGCCCCCCAGGAAGGUGCGAUCCAGCUCGUCUGCUAUCCCUCUGCCCAGGCACAGUGACUCACUUGCAAGCCACACUUUGAGAAGCCUAAUUAUGCCAGAAAGAAUUCUGACCUAAAAUGCAAUGGGUUUAAUCAGAAUAAUUGAAAAUGGACUAACAAGCUGCUCUCAAGGUGUGAUCUGCCCACCCCUGGGUGGUUCCAAAACUCUGCUUUGGAAGAACUCUUGUAGGGAAUCCAGCAGGUCAAACCUACUUUCUUGAAUUUUUUUUUUUUUUUUUUUUUUUUUUGAGACGGUCUUGCUCUGUCACCCAGGGUGGAGUGCAGUGGCACGAUCAUGGCUCACUGCAGCCUUGCCCUCCCAGACUCAUGCAAUCCUCUUGCAUCAGCCUCCCAAGUAGCUGGGACUACAGGCAUGUGCCAUGAUGCCUGGCUAACUUUUUUUUUUUUUUUGGUGGAGAUGAGGUCUCACUAUGUUGCCCAGGCUAGUCUUAAACUCCUGGACUCAAACGAUCCUCCUACCUGGGCCUCCCAAAAUCCUGGGAUUACAGGUUUGAGCCACUACACCUGACCAAACCCACUUUCAUAGUAACACUAAGCUGUCAUUUGCCCUUCCCACUGCAAUGGCAUCUACACUGAUGGCACAAAUACGAUUUGGGGUGAAAUGGUGGCAACAUAGCCUGAAUCAAGGCAGGCAUUGAAGUGUCCUAUCCUAGGAGGCCUUGCAUUCUUCCCUGACAUCUUCUCUCCAUUAAAAACAAUAAAAACAAAAAAAUUUA
This 2221-nucleotide small RNA is filed under the name Pongo abelii (Sumatran orangutan). RNAcentral's name for it is "retained intron". Lineage: Eukaryota; Metazoa; Chordata; Mammalia; Primates; Hominidae. The record is from RNAcentral.